GCAGCGACGCCGCGUGGAUGAUGAAGGCCCUCGGGUUGUAAAAUCCUUUACAAGGGGACGAGGAAGGACGGUACCCUUGGAACAAGUGUCGGCUAACUACGUGCCAGCAGCCGCGGUAAGACGUAGGACACAAGCGUUAUCCGGAUUUACUGGGCGUAAAGCGUCUGCAGGCGGACAGGUAAGUUGGGCGUGAAAGCUCCGGGCUCAACCCGGAGAGGUCGUUCAAUACUGCGUGUCUAGAGGGUGUCAGAGGGGAGUGGAAUUUCCGGAGUAGCGGUAAAAUGCGCAGAGAUCGGAAAGAACACCAAUGGCGAAGGCAGCUCCCUGGGGCAUACCUGACGCUAAGAGACGAAAGCUAGGGGAGCGAACAGGAUUAGAGACCCUGGUAAGUCCUAGCCCUAAACGAUGGAUGCUGGAUGUGGGGCCAUAGCGCUCCGUGUCGAAGCGAACGCGUUAAGCAUCCCGCCUGGGGACUACGGCCGCAAGGUUAAAACUCAAACGAAUUGACGGGACCCCGCACAAGCAGCGGAGCGUGUGGUUUAAUUCGAUGCUACACGAAGAACCUUACCUGGGUUUGACAUCUAGGUGGUAGCGAAGUGAAAGCGGAGCGACCCUUCGGGGAGCCUAGACAGGUGCUGCAUGGCUGUCGUCAGCUCGUGCCGUGAGGUGUCGGGUUAAGUCCCGUAACGAGCGCAACCCUUGCCCUCCGUUAUACGUGUCAGAGGGGACUGCCGGCGGUAAGCCGGAGGAAGGUGGGGAUGACGUCAAGUCAGCAUGGCCUUUAUAUCCAGGGCUACACACACGCUACAAUGGCCAGUACAAAGGGCAGCGAAGCCGCGAGGUGGAGCGAAUCCCAGCAAAGCUGGUCGUAGUUCGG
RNAcentral lists this ribosomal RNA (877 nucleotides) under uncultured Chloroflexales bacterium. RNAcentral describes it as "bacterial SSU rRNA". It matches the Rfam family "Bacterial small subunit ribosomal RNA", at positions 388 to 1296 of the family's 1533-position model. The record is from RNAcentral. Lineage: Bacteria; Bacillati; Chloroflexota; Chloroflexia; Chloroflexales.